UGGGGAAUUUUGCGCAAUGGGGGAAACCCUGACGCAGCAACGCCGCGUGAGUGAUGAAGGCCUUCGGGUCGUAAAGCUCUGUCAGAGGGGAAGAAAUGCAGGGGUGCUAAUAUCAUCUUUGCUUGACGGUACCCUCAAAGGAAGCACCGGCUAACUCCGUGCCAGCAGCCGCGGUAAUACGGAGGGUGCGAGCGUUGUUCGGAAUUAUUGGGCGUAAAGCGCGUGUAGGCGGUUUGGUAAGUCUGAUGUGAAAGCCCUGGGCUCAACCUGGGAAGUGCAUUGGAAACUGUCAGACUUGAAUACGGGAGAGGGUAGUGGAAUUCCUAGUGUAGGAGUGAAAUCCGUAGAUAUUAGGAGGAGCACCGGUGGCGAAGGCGGCUACCUGGACCGAUAUUGACGCUGAGACGCGAAAGCGUGGGGAGCAAACAGG
RNAcentral lists this ribosomal RNA (430 nucleotides) under uncultured bacterium. RNAcentral describes it as "bacterial SSU rRNA". It matches the Rfam family "Bacterial small subunit ribosomal RNA", at positions 355 to 776 of the family's 1533-position model. The record is from RNAcentral.